GCAGGAGUCAGACCCAGUCAGGACACAGCAUGGACAUGAGGGUCCCCGCUCAGCUCCUGGGGCUCCUGCUGCUCUGGCUCCCAGGUGCCAAAUGUGACAUCCAGAUGACCCAGUCUCCUUCCACCCUGUCUGCAUCUGUAGGAGACAGAGUCACCAUCACUUGCCGGGCCAGUCAGAGUAUUAGUAGCUGGUUGGCCUGGUAUCAGCAGAAACCAGGGAAAGCCCCUAAGCUCCUGAUCUAUAAGGCGUCUAGUUUAGAAAGUGGGGUCCCAUCAAGGUUCAGCGGCAGUGGAUCUGGGACAGAAUUCACUCUCACCAUCAGCAGCCUGCAGCCUGAUGAUUUUGCAACUUAUUACUGCCAACAGUAUAAUAGUUAUUCUCCCACAGUGUUACACACCCGAACAUAAACCCCCAGGGAAGCAGAUGAACUGUGGCUGCACCAUCUGUCUUCAUCUUCCCGCCAUCUGAUGAGCAGUUGAAAUCUGGAACUGCCUCUGUUGUGUGCCUGCUGAAUAACUUCUAUCCCAGAGAGGCCAAAGUACAGUGGAAGGUGGAUAACGCCCUCCAAUCGGGUAACUCCCAGGAGAGUGUCACAGAGCAGGACAGCAAGGACAGCACCUACAGCCUCAGCAGCACCCUGACGCUGAGCAAAGCAGACUACGAGAAACACAAAGUCUACGCCUGCGAAGUCACCCAUCAGGGCCUGAGCUCGCCCGUCACAAAGAGCUUCAACAGGGGAGAGUGUUAGAGGGAGAAGUGCCCCCACCUGCUCCUCAGUUCCAGCCUGACCCCCUCCCAUCCUUUGGCCUCUGACCCUUUUUCCACAGGGGACCUACCCCUAUUGCGGUCCUCCAGCUCAUCUUUCACCUCACCCCCCUCCUCCUCCUUGGCUUUAAUUAUGCUAAUGUUGGAGGAGAAUGAAUAAAUAAAGUGAAUCUUU
RNAcentral lists this long non-coding RNA (940 nucleotides) under Homo sapiens (human). RNAcentral describes it as "long non-coding RNA NONHSAT185100.1". The record is from RNAcentral. Lineage: Eukaryota; Metazoa; Chordata; Mammalia; Primates; Hominidae.